RNAcentral lists this ribosomal RNA (600 nucleotides) under uncultured bacterium. RNAcentral's name for it is "bacterial SSU rRNA". It matches the Rfam family "Bacterial small subunit ribosomal RNA", at positions 95 to 684 of the family's 1533-position model. The record is from RNAcentral.
GUUGCAGACGGUGAGGACACGUAACACUCCUUCUUAAUGUGGGGCCCAACUCGAGAAAUCGGGCUAAUCCCCAUAAAUCUUAGUGUGGCAUCACACAAGAUUAAACUCCGGUGGUAAGAGAUGGGUGUGCGUCUGAUUAGCUAGUUGGUAGGGUAACGGCUACCUAGGCGACGAUCAGUAACUGGUGUGAGAGCACGACCAGUCAACACGGGCACUGAGAUACGGGCCGACUCCUACGGGAGGCAGCAGUAAGGAAUAUUUGGUCCAUUGGGCGAAAGCCUGAACCAGCCAUGCCGCGUGCAGGAUGAAGGCCCUCUGGGUUGUAAACUGCUUUUAUCUGGGAAGAAACACCCCGUUUCUACGGGGCUUGACGGUACCAGGAGGGAAUAAGCACCGGCUAACUCCGUGCCCAGCAGCCGCGGUAAUACGGAGGGUGCAAGGCGUUAUCCGGAUUUACUGGGUUUAAAGGGUGCGUAGGCGGGCCUUUAAGUUCAGUGGGUGAAAUCUCCCGGGUUUAACCGGGGAAACUGCCAUUGAAUUACUUAUUGGGUCCUUGAAUUCCAAGUUUGAGGUGGGCGGAAUUGUGUCCGUGGUANGCGG